RNAcentral lists this ribosomal RNA (452 nucleotides) under uncultured bacterium. Its description in RNAcentral is "bacterial SSU rRNA". It matches the Rfam family "Bacterial small subunit ribosomal RNA", at positions 29 to 525 of the family's 1533-position model. The record is from RNAcentral.
ACGAACGCUGGCGGCAGGCUUAACACAUGCAAGUCGAACGCGUGUAGCAAUACACGAGUGGCGCACGGGUGAGUAACGCGUGGAUAUCUGCCUUUUGGUUCGGAAUAACCCCGGGAAACUGGGGCUAAUACCGGAUGGUUCCUUCGGGAUAAAGAUUUAUCGCCAAAAGAUGAGUCCGCGUCCGAUUAGCUAGUUGGUGAGGUAAUGGCUCACCAAGGCGACGAUCGGUAGCUGGUCUGAGAGGACGAUCAGCCACACUGGGACUGAGACACGGCCCAGACUCCUACGGGAGGCAGCAGUGGGGAAUAUUGGACAAUGGGGGCAACCCUGAUCCAGCCAUGCCGCGUGAGUGAUGAAGGCCUUCGGGUUGUAAAGCUCUUUUGGCGGGGACGAUGAUGACGGUACCCGCAGAAUAAGCCCCGGCUAACUUCGUGCCAGCAGCCGCGGUAAUU